UUAAUGUGAGGUUUUUGAUCAUUCACGUUUCAACUCGCCGACGAUAGAACUCUGAGAGAUGGCAACAGAUCAUCCUUGUUCUUUGUCACAGAAAGAGGGGUGUUCUUUUCUUGUGUUAUAGAUCCACCUGCUGGUUCAUUUUUAAAUCGACUGACUGCUAACCUUUGCCUAGGUUUUUACAUGGACAUAUAAUUUGGCAGGUGGCCUGUGUCGUCGUGUAGCGACAGCCUGUAUUGGUUCGCCCACAAGUUCAAUGGAGGAUUGCAAUAUUACAAAAAUGUACUUUGCUUAUUUCGCCAUCGGAGCAGGUAAUAUUGAAACAAGCUAGAACAUCAUAAGCUACGCUCAGGCUAAAUUAUGUUUAAAGCCCCAGGCCUAUUUGAUUAAUUAAAUCUACCAACGAAGCCUAACAUACAAUAACCACUGACAUUUGGUACUAUUCAUUAUAUUAUGUAGAUCUCAAAUGUCAGUGUAGCCUACCUACCAUCAGUGUAUACCAUUAUCAUCACAGUACUGACAUCGCUACUGUAAAUGAUGAUAAUACAUGCCAUUGCGUUGUUUUACCACAAGGGGGUGUUGAAAGCCUAUUUAGGGUCUCCUUACCAAUGGUUAAACGACUUUCUCGAUACGGAAUUCAUGUUCUUUCUCAUCUCACAGCUCUUUCUACAAACAUUCAGCUUGAAGCAACCACGAUUCCUGAAAGAUAAAUGUUCCAUACAUGGUUCAAUUUACUUUACCAUAACCUAUCUUCACUUACAUAUUCUAAACCACUGUUCCCUCACAAAAGAAGAUAUGGUCGCCUUCCUGGCUGUGAAGAAGACUUUAUAACAUAUUGCAAAAUACAUCCAUGCACUUUAGGACAUUUUGCUUGUUUGUACAUAGAGUGGUUAUAAAAACACAAACGACAUUUCAAUGUGCUAUUACAGUAGCAAUGUAGCAGACUUUAAUCUAUAUCAAUUUGGGGUUAAAUCAGGUAGGAAUGUGGCUGUAGAUGGUGUGUUAGGGUAUUAAUGUUAAUAGCUUUGCAAAUGUUGUAACUAAAACAAUGAAAAUGGUUCAGUUUUGUACAUUCAGACUACUGUUACACUAGGAUGCCAAGUAUAAAUAGUUGUGGGUAACUAGCUGUAAAAUAAACUAUUAUAAAAUAAA
Molecule: long non-coding RNA, 1149 nt
Organism: Clupea harengus (Atlantic herring)
Lineage: Eukaryota; Metazoa; Chordata; Actinopteri; Clupeiformes; Clupeidae
Exons: 2
Source: RefSeq, a predicted model, not a curated record